This 301-nucleotide ribosomal RNA is filed under the name uncultured bacterium. RNAcentral describes it as "partial 16S ribosomal RNA". It matches the Rfam family "Bacterial small subunit ribosomal RNA", at positions 509 to 809 of the family's 1533-position model. The record is from RNAcentral.
CAGCAGCCGCGGGAAUACGAAGGGUGCAAGCGUUACUCGGAAUUACUGGGCGUAAAGCGUGCGUAGGUGGUGGUUUAAGUCCGUUGUGAAAGCCCUGGGCUCAACCUGGGAAUUGCAGUGGAUACUGGGUCACUAGAGUGUGGUAGAGGAUAGUGGAAUUUCCGGUGUAGCAGUGAAAUGCGUAGAGAUCGGAAGGAACAUCUGUGGCGAAGGCGACUAUCUGGGCCAACACUGACACUGAGGCACGAAAGCGUGGGGAGCAAACAGGAUUAGAUACCCCAGUAGUCCCUGUCUCUUAUAU